Molecule: non-coding RNA, 74 nt
Organism: Parelaphostrongylus tenuis
Lineage: Eukaryota; Metazoa; Nematoda; Chromadorea; Rhabditida; Metastrongylidae
Source: the annotation of a GenBank genome assembly
GCUUCGCUGGUGCAGUGGUAGUUGCACACUUCCCCAGUAUGGAUGAAAUGCGAGAUCGAUUCCCUCAUGAGGCC